CCUACGGGGGGCUGCAGUAGGGAAUCUUCCACAAUGGGCGAAAGCCUGAUGGAGCAACGCCGCGUGGGUGAAGAAGGUCUUCGGAUCGUAAAACCCUGUUGUUAGAGAAGAAAGUGCGUGAGAGUAACUGUUCACGUUUCGACGGUAUCUAACCAGAAAGCCACGGCUAACUACGUGCCAGCAGCCGCGGUAAUACGUAGGUGGCAAGCGUUAUCCGGAUUUAUUGGGCGUAAAGGGAACGCAGGCGGGCUUUUAAGUCUGAUGUGAAAGCCUUCGGCUUAACCGGAGUAGUGCAUUGGAAAAUGGGAGACUGGAGUGCAGAAGAGGAGAGGGGAACUCCAUGUGUAGCGGUGAAAUGCGUAGAUAUAUGGAAGAACACCAGUGGCGAAAGCGGCUCUCUGGUCUGUAACUGACGCUGAGGUUCGAAAGCGUGGGUAGCAAACAGGAUUAGAUACCCUAGUAGUC
Molecule: ribosomal RNA, 465 nt
Filed under: uncultured bacterium
Lineage: Bacteria
Description: partial 16S ribosomal RNA
Rfam family: Bacterial small subunit ribosomal RNA
Source: RNAcentral